This 84-nucleotide transfer RNA is filed under the name Candidatus Woesearchaeota archaeon. Its description in RNAcentral is "tRNA-Ser". It matches the Rfam family "tRNA". From Rfam's summary of the family: Transfer RNA (tRNA) molecules are approximately 80 nucleotides in length. Their secondary structure includes four short double-helical elements and three loops (D, anti-codon, and T loops). RNAcentral also lists the same sequence under 1 other name. The record is from RNAcentral. Lineage: Archaea; Nanobdellati; Candidatus Woesearchaeota.
GCCGCGGUCGCAUAACCUGGUAUUGCGCUGGCCUUGAGAGCCAGUGCCCUUCGGGGCGUGUGGGUUCGAAUCCCACCCGCGGCG